UACGUAGGGCGCGAGCGUUGUCCGGAAUUAUUGGGCGUAAAGAGCUCGUAGGCGGCCUGUUGCGUCCGCUGUGAAAUCCCAGGGCUCAACCCUGGGCGUGCAGUGGAUACGGGCAGGCUGGAGGCAGGCAGGGGAGAACGGAAUUCCCGGUGUAGCGGUGAAAUGCGUAGAUAUCGGAAGGAACAUCAGUGGCGAAAGCGGCUUCCUGGACCAGCACCGACGUCAGGCACGAAAGCGUGGGGAGCAAACAGG
Molecule: ribosomal RNA, 252 nt
Filed under: uncultured bacterium
Lineage: Bacteria
Description: partial 16S ribosomal RNA
Rfam family: Bacterial small subunit ribosomal RNA
Source: RNAcentral